UGGUCAAGUUACUGAGGGCACACGGGGGAUGCCUUGGCGCUGGAAGUCGAUGAAGGACGUGGCAAGCUGCGAUAAGCCCAGAGGAGCCGCAAACAGGCGUUGAUUCUGGGAUCUCCGAAUGGGGCAACCCCCCACGGGUCAUGCCGUGGGAUCUGGCUCUGAAUGCAUAGGAGUCAGAGGACAACCCGGGGAAGUGAAACAUCUCAGUACCCGGAGGAAGAGAAAGCAACCGCGAUUCCCUGAGUAGUGGCGAGCGAAAGGGGACCAGCCCAAACCGCCGGAGCUCCGGCCCCGGCGGGGUUGUGGGACUCUCACCAAGGACCGAAGACGCGAGACGAAGCCCGCUGGAUAUGCGGCGCCACAGAAGGUGACAGCCCUGUAGUCGAAGCGCGAUCGGCCGAGAGAUGUUCCCGAGUAGGGCGGGGCACGAGAAACCCCGUCUGAAUCCGGGGGGACCACCCUCCAAGGCUAAACACUCUCCAGCGACCGAUAGUGAACCAGUACCGUGAGGGAAAGGUGAAAAGCAGCCCGAGAGGGCAGUGAAAGAGUACCUGAAACCGUGUGUCCACAAACAGUCGGAGCACCAUGGCCGGGCUUGCCCGGCAACGUGCGACGGCGUGCCUUUUGCAUAAUGAUCCGGCGAGUCACUGCUCAUUGGCAAGGUUAAGGGCCUCUGGCCCGGAGCCGCAGCGAAAGCGAGUCUGAACAGGGCGUUCAGUCAAUGGGCGUGGACCCGAAGCGGGGUGAUCUAGGCAUGGCCAGGCUGAAGUCGGGGUUACACCCGAUGGAGGGCCGAACCGGUAAACCUUAAAAAGUUUUCGGAUGAGCUGUGCCUAGGGGUGAAAGGCCAAUCAAACUCCGUGAUAGCUGGUUCUCCCCGAAAUGUUUUUAGGAACAGCCUCGGUCAUUUCGUCGUGGAGGUAGAGCACUGCCUGGACUAGGGGGCCUACAAGCUUACCGAACCCAUGCAAACUCCGAAUGCCACGACGUGACAGGCCGGGAGUGAGUCUGCGGGGGAUAAGCUCCGCAGUCGAGAGGGAAACAACCCAGACCGCCGGCCAAGGCCCCCAAGCGUGUGCUAAGUGCCAAAGGAUGUGGAGUUACACAGACAACCAGGAGGUUGGCUUAGAAGCAGCCAUUCCUUGAAAGAGUGCGUAACAGCUCACUGGUCGAGUAGCUCUGCGCCGAAAAUGAGCCGGGACUCAAGCACACCGCCGAAGCCGCGGAUCGUCCCGCCCCCGGGCGGGAUGGUGGUAGGGGAGCGUUCUGCGCGCCUCGAAGGUCAACCGCAAGGAUGGCUGGAGCGCGCUGAAGUGAGUAUGCCGGAAUCAGUAACGACAAGACGAGUGAAAAACUCGUCCGCCGCAAACCCAAGGUUUCCUGGGCAAUGGUAAUCAUCCCAGGGUGAGCCGGCCCCUAAGGCGAGGCCGAGAGGCGUAGCUGAUGGGAAACAGGGAAGAAAAGUCCUGUGCCACCUGAGAUGCGUCAUCACGAUGGGGUGACGCAGUGAGCAAGACCAAGCCAAGGCGACGGACAUGCCUGGCAGACCCGCGUAGGCCGGGGAGGAGGGAAAUCCCUUCCCCGCUGAGGCCGAGACGGGCUUCGAGGGCCCUGGUGCCCGAAGUGGUCCGACCUGCUGCCGAGAAACAGCCUCUAAGGAGUGUCUCAGGUGACCGUACCGGAAACCGACACAGGUGGGUGAGGAGAGCAUCCUCAGGCGCUCGGGAGAACCAGUGAGAAGGAACUCGGCAAAAUGGCCCCGUAACUUCGGAAGAAGGGGUGCCCCUGUCCGUGAUGGGCCCGCGCCCGGAGCGGAGGGGGGCCGCAGUGAAAUGGCUCAGGCGACUGUUUAACAAAAACACAGCACUCUGCCAAGCCGCAAGGCGACGUAUAGGGUGUGACACCUGCCCGGUGCUGGAAGGUUAAGAGGCGUGGUCAGGGCUGAAUAGCCCCAGUAAACGGCGGCCGUAACUAUAACGGUCCUAAGGUAGCGAAAUUCCUUGUCGGGUAAGUUCCGACCUGCACGAAUGGUGUAACGAUCUGAGCGCUGUCACCUCGCUGGACCCGGUGAAGUUGAGAGAUCGGUGAAGACGCCGAUUACCCGCAGCAAGACGGAAAGACCCCGUGCACCUUUACUAUAACCUGGCAUUGGAUCUUGGCAUGGCGUGUAGAGGAUAGGUGGGAGACGCUGAAGCAGAGGCGCCAGCCUCUGUGGAGUCAACCGUGGAAUACCACCCUCGCUGUGUUGUGACUCUAACCUGCAGCCGUGAAGCCGGCUGGGGAACAGUGCCAGGCGGGUAGUUUGACUGGGGCGGUCGCCUCCCAAAGUGUAACGGAGGCGUACAAAGGUUGGCUCAGCACGGUCGGCAAUCGUGCGAAGAGCGCAAGGGUAGAAGCCAGCCUGACUGAGAGACUCACAGGUCGAUCAGGCACGAAAGUGGGUCCUAGUGAUCCGGCGGUCCCGUGUGGAAGGGCCGUCGCUCAUCGGAUAAAAGGUACGCCGGGGAUAACAGGCUUAUCGCGUCCAAGAGUUCACAUCGACGACGCGGUUUGGCACCUCGAUGUCGGCUCACCGCAUCCUGGGGCUGUAGGCGGUCCCAAGGGUUUGUCUGUUCGCCAAUUAAAGCGGUACGUGAGCUGGGUUCAGAACGUCGUGAGACAGUUCGGUCCCUAUCUGCUGUGGGCGCAGGAGUCUUGAGCGGAUCUGCUCCUAGUACGAGAGGACCGGAGUGGACUGACCUCUGGCGUUCCGGUUGUGCUGCCAAGUGCAUUGCCGGGUAACCAGGUCGGGAUCCGAUAACCGCUGAAAGCAUCUAAGCGGGAAGCGGACCGCGAGAUAAGGACUCCCGGGGCUUCGGCCCCCCAAAGGCCCCUGCGAGACGAGCAGGUUGAUAGGCUGGAAGUGGAAGCACGGCAACGUGUGGAGCUGACCAGUACUAAUGGGCCGGGCGACUUGACCAC
This 2961-nucleotide ribosomal RNA is filed under the name Candidatus Sumerlaeia bacterium. RNAcentral describes it as "23S ribosomal RNA". It matches the Rfam family "Bacterial large subunit ribosomal RNA". Lineage: Bacteria; Candidatus Sumerlaeota; Candidatus Sumerlaeia. The record is from RNAcentral.